UACGUAGGGUGCAAGCGUUAUCCGGAAUUAUUGGGCGUAAAGAGCUCGUAGGCGGUUUGUCGCGUCUGCUGUGAGAACUGGAGGCUCAACCUCCAGCCUGCAGUGGGGUACGGGCAAACUAGAGUGCGGUAGGGGAGAUUGGAAUUCUUGGUGUAGCAGUGAAAUGCGUAGAUAUCAAGAGGAACACCAGUGGCGAAGGCGAGUCCCUGGACAACACCUGACACUGAGGCACGAAAGCUAGGGGAGCAAACAGG
This 254-nucleotide ribosomal RNA is filed under the name uncultured bacterium. RNAcentral describes it as "partial 16S ribosomal RNA". It matches the Rfam family "Bacterial small subunit ribosomal RNA", at positions 524 to 776 of the family's 1533-position model. The record is from RNAcentral.